AUGCCUAGGUUACAGAGGUGUGCUACCGCAAGAAGAAAGAAAAUUCUUGGGGUUGGUCGUGGCAAUAUGGCUGCAGCUGCAGACCACGAUGACGACUUCAUGGAGCCACCGGUCAGGUCGUCAUCACUUCCCGUAAAAUAUGUAGCGUUGGUUUCUAGAUGCACACCCAUUUCAAUUUCGUCCAUCGUGAACGAUUUUAACGAUGAAAAGAAACGCUUACCCAGGGAGAUGAAGUUUGAUGGAAUUUUGAAACUACCAGAAAUCACAAACUCUCGUGAAUUUAGUCACAACCUUCUAUCUAGGGUAUCCACUGAAGAUAUAGCAAUUAGAAUGGGUGAUGGAUCUCUUCUCUACUUCACUGAUGGUGAUGUUCACAAAGUUCUGGGUAUCCCAUUCAUGGGAAAGGAGUUGCGAAUUCCUUCCACGGAAGAAAUCAAUCACAUCAAAAAUAUAAUAUGCAUCGGACUGAACGUCCCGGAGUUUAAAAAAAUCACGAGAACUGUACUAACUGAUAUUCUAAGCAAGAAACAUGAAGCACCAAUGUCGGAUGAUGAAGUUGCUGCCUUCAAGACUGCAUUCAUUCUACUUGUGAUGACCAAAUUCCUUGCGCCACAAACUUUGUUGGACAAUAUAUGUCCGAGGUAUUUUAUGGCGCUCAAGAAUUUGGAUGACAUACAUAAUUGGAACUGGGCAAGGUAUGUCGUUAAUGACAUUAUAGCAGCAGCGCGGGCAUUGGCCAACAAGCUCACUGAUGAAACAAAAGCCACCUAUAUAAAUGGAUGUGUCAUAUUUCUGCAGAUAUUCUACUUGGACAACCUGGAAUUGGGUCCGCUAAGUCUCAAGCAUGAUUGCUUCCCACGAAUUAUGGCGUAUGAUAAACAUGCAAUAAAAGUACGAAUGAGUAUGGACCUCAAAGAGAAGAAUCAGUACAAGCCAACCCAGUUUGGGAUGAUGAAGCUACGUCCAAGAAGUGAAGUCUGUUACAACAGACAUACAAUGGGCAUGAUGUCGGCUUUUCGAGCUGAAAGUGGCGCUGUCCCAUCAGAGAUCAAUCCUGAUAAUAGCAAGAUAGUUCAACAAGCAUUCCUGAUUAGGGACAAUUUGUGA
RNAcentral lists this ribosomal RNA (1107 nucleotides) under Triticum aestivum (bread wheat). RNAcentral's name for it is "partial small subunit ribosomal RNA". The record is from RNAcentral. Lineage: Eukaryota; Viridiplantae; Streptophyta; Magnoliopsida; Poales; Poaceae.